Molecule: ribosomal RNA, 442 nt
Filed under: uncultured bacterium
Lineage: Bacteria
Description: partial 16S ribosomal RNA
Rfam family: Bacterial small subunit ribosomal RNA
Source: RNAcentral
CCUACGGGAGGCAGCAGUAGGGAAUCUUUCACAAUGGGCGAAAGCCUGAUGGAGCAACGCCGCGUGCAGGAUGAAGGCCUUCGGGUUGUAAACUGCUUUUAUAAGCGAGAAAUAUGAUGGUAACUUAUGAAUAAGGAUCGGCUAACUACGUGCCAGCAGCCGCGGUCAUACGUAGGAUCCGAGCAUUAUCCGGAGUGACUGGGUGUAAAGAGUUGCGUAGGUGGCAUAAUAAGUAGCUAGUGAAAUCUGGUGGCUCAACCAUUCAGACUAUUAGCUAAACUGUUAAGCUCGAGACCGUUAGGGGUAACUGGAAUGUCUGGUGUAGGAGUGAAAUCCGUAGAUAUUAGAAAGAACACCAAUAGCGUAGGCAGGUUGCUGGGACGGUUCUGACACUAAGGCACGAAAGCGUAGGGAGCAAACGGGAUUAGAUACCCUUGUAGUC